This 253-nucleotide ribosomal RNA is filed under the name uncultured bacterium. Its description in RNAcentral is "partial 16S ribosomal RNA". It matches the Rfam family "Bacterial small subunit ribosomal RNA", at positions 524 to 776 of the family's 1533-position model. The record is from RNAcentral.
UACGGAGGGGGCUAGCGUUGUUCGGAAUUACUGGGCGUAAAGCGCGCGUAGGCGGACCUGCAAGUCGGGGGUGAAAGCCCGAGGCUCAACCUCGGAACUGCCUUCGAUACUGCGGGUCUCGAGUCCGGGAGAGGUGAGUGGAAUUCCUAGUGUAGAGGUGAAAUUCGUAGAUAUUAGGAAGAACACCAGUGGCGAAGGCGGCGUGCUGGACCGGUAUUGACGCUGAGGCGCGAAAGCUAGGGGAGCAAACGGG